This 238-nucleotide ribosomal RNA is filed under the name Klebsiella pneumoniae. Its description in RNAcentral is "partial 16S ribosomal RNA". It matches the Rfam family "Bacterial small subunit ribosomal RNA", at positions 777 to 1014 of the family's 1533-position model. The record is from RNAcentral. Lineage: Bacteria; Pseudomonadati; Pseudomonadota; Gammaproteobacteria; Enterobacterales; Enterobacteriaceae.
AUUAGAUACCCUGGUAGUCCAUGCCGUAAACGAUGUCUACUAGCCGUUGGGGCCUUUGAGGCUUUAGUGGCGCAGCUAACGAGAUAAGUAGACCGCCUGGGGAGUACGGUCGCAAGACUAAAACUCAUAUGAAUUGACGGGGGCCCGCACAAGCGGUGGAGCAUGUGGUUUAAUUCGAUGCAACGCGAAGAACCUUACCUGGCCUUGACAUACUAGAAACUUUCCAGAGAUGGAUUGG